GAUGAACGCUGGCGGCGUGCCUAAUACAUGCAAGUCGAGCGAACAGAUGAGGAGCUUGCUCCUCUGACGUUAGCGGCGGACGGGUGAGUAACACGUGGAUAACCUACCUAUAAGACUGGGAUAACUUCGGGAAACCGGAGCUAAUACCGGAUAAUAUAUUGAACCUCAUUGUUCAAUAGUGAAAGACGGUUUUGCUGUCACUUAUAGAUGGAUCCGCGCCGCAUUAGCUAGUUGGUAAGGUAACGGCUUACCAAGGCAACGAUGCGUAGCCGACCUGAGAGGGUGAUCGGCAACACUGGAAGUGAGACACGGUCCAGACUCCUACGGGAGGCAGCAGUAGGGAAUCUUCCGCAAUGGGCGAAAGCCUGACGGAGCAACGCCGCGUGAGUGAUGAAGGUCUUCGGAUCGUAAAACUCUGUUAUUAGGGAAGAACAAAUGUGUAAGUAACUAUGCACGUCUUGACGGUACCUAAUCAGAAAGCCACGGCUAACUACGUG
RNAcentral lists this ribosomal RNA (497 nucleotides) under uncultured bacterium. RNAcentral describes it as "partial 16S ribosomal RNA". It matches the Rfam family "Bacterial small subunit ribosomal RNA", at positions 28 to 507 of the family's 1533-position model. The record is from RNAcentral.